AACGAACGCUGGCGGCAUGCCUAACACAUGCAAGUCGAACGAGACCUUCGGGUCUAGUGGCGCACGGGUGCGUAACGCGUGGGAACCUGCCCUUAGGUUCGGAAUAACUCCCCGAAAGGGGUGCUAAUACCGGAUAAUGUCUUCGGACCAAAGAUUUAUCGCCGUUGGAUGGGCCCGGGUUGGAUUAGCUAGUUGGUAGGGUAAAAGCCUACCAAGGCGACGAUCCAUAGCUGGUCUGAGAGGAUGAUCAGCCACACUGGGACUGAGACACGGCCCAGACUCCUACGGGAGGCAGGAGUGGGGAAUAUUGGACGAUGGGCGAAAGCCUGAUCCAGCAAGGCCGCGUGAGUGAUGAAGGCCUUAGGGUUGUAAAGCUCUUUUACCCGGGAUGAUAAUGACAGUACCGGGAGAAUAAGCUCCGGCUAACUCCGUG
This 433-nucleotide ribosomal RNA is filed under the name uncultured bacterium. RNAcentral describes it as "partial 16S ribosomal RNA". It matches the Rfam family "Bacterial small subunit ribosomal RNA", at positions 29 to 507 of the family's 1533-position model. The record is from RNAcentral.